Salvia miltiorrhiza (redroot sage) is the source of this 673-nucleotide long non-coding RNA. RefSeq lists it as uncharacterized. The transcript has 2 exons. The record is from RefSeq and is a predicted model, not a curated record. Lineage: Eukaryota; Viridiplantae; Streptophyta; Magnoliopsida; Lamiales; Lamiaceae.
UCAAUAUAUCAAUGGUGAGGCCGUCGCCGUCGUCUGCCUCUACCGGCGUUGCUCCGCCUGAUUGCAACGCUCCUCAGUCUUAUCGCCGUCGUCUGCCUCUACCGGCGUUGCUCCGCCUGAUUCACAUCCCCCUCGCCGUCAAUAGCAGCGGUGAACGACAACUCCCGCCAUCUCCUCAUCGACGUAGUGCAAAACAGUAGGGUGGAUCGUCACUUCGUUCGCCGGCAUCUGCUCCGAAUCUCGCGCGGCGUGAGAUUUGAGAUCAGUAAAAUCUAGGGUUUUAAACAAUGAAGAUGCGAAAUCUACCAUCGUUUCCAUUUUCUGCGGUGGUGAUUUGUUGAAGACGGCGUGAUGAAGGUUCUUCUCCGGCGAAAGUUGUUGUUUUUUGCCGUUAAGCGAUUCCGCCUUCCUCCUUCUCCGGCGUGAUGGAUUGAUGAAAGUUGUUGGUUUUCUGAAUCAUCUUCUUUAGUGGGCAUUUUUCUUUCUUGCUUUUUCUGCAGAUUUGCUUUUUUUGUUUCUUUUAUUUUUUUCAAUUGUUUAUUUAUAAAUGUGGCACCACUGGUUGAACAUAUCAUACGAUCUGUGUUUUGUGAUUUUUUCCCAAGAAAUGCAAGCACAUGCCCUGCCCAGAAUAGUGAUGCUAGAGGCGAUGAGGCUUCUGGUUGGAUGCCAA